This 465-nucleotide ribosomal RNA is filed under the name Vreelandella stevensii. RNAcentral's name for it is "partial 16S ribosomal RNA". It matches the Rfam family "Bacterial small subunit ribosomal RNA", at positions 338 to 795 of the family's 1533-position model. Lineage: Bacteria; Pseudomonadati; Pseudomonadota; Gammaproteobacteria; Oceanospirillales; Halomonadaceae. The record is from RNAcentral.
CCUACGGGCGGCAGCAGUGGGGAAUAUUGGACAAUGGGGGCAACCCUGAUCCAGCCAUGCCGCGUGUGUGAAGAAGGCCCUCGGGUUGUAAAGCACUUUCAGUGAGGAAGAACGCCUGGUGGUUAAUACCCAUCAGGAAAGACAUCACUCACAGAAGAAGCACCGGCUAACUCCGUGCCAGCAGCCGCGGUAAUACGGAGGGUGCGAGCGUUAAUCGGAAUUACUGGGCGUAAAGCGCGCGUAGGUGGCUUGAUAAGCCGGUUGUGAAAGCCCCGGGCUCAACCUGGGAACGGCAUCCGGAACUGUCAAGCUAGAGUGCAGGAGAGGAAGGUAGAAUUCCCGGUGUAGCGGUGAAAUGCGUAGAGAUCGGGAGGAAUACCAGUGGCGAAGGCGGCCUUCUGGACGGACACUGACACUGAGGUGCGAAAGCGUGGGUAGCAAACAGGAUUAGAUACCCUAGUAGUC